This 468-nucleotide ribosomal RNA is filed under the name uncultured bacterium. RNAcentral describes it as "partial 16S ribosomal RNA". It matches the Rfam family "Bacterial small subunit ribosomal RNA", at positions 28 to 507 of the family's 1533-position model. The record is from RNAcentral.
GACGAACGCUGGCGGCGUGCUUAACACAUGCAAGUCGAACGGAAAGGCCCUGCUUUUGUGGGGUGCUCGAGUGGCGAACGGGUGAGUAACACGUGAGUAACCUGCCCUUGACUUUGGGAUAACUUCUGGAAACUGGGGCUAAUACCGGAUAGGAGCUCCUGCUGCAUGGUGGUGGUUGGAAAGUUUCGGCGGUUGGGGAUGGACUCGCGGCUUAUCAGCUUGUUGGUGGGGUAGGGGCUUACCAAGGCUUUGACGGGUAGCCGGCCUGAGAGGGUGACCGGCCACAUUGGGACUGAGAGACGGCCCAGACUCCUACGGGAGGCAGCAGUGGGGAAUAUUGCAGAAUGGGCGGAAGCCUGAUGCAGCAACGCCGCGUGCGUGAUGCCGGCCUUCGGGUUGUAAACCGCUUUCGCCUGUGACGAAGAGUGAGUGACGGUAAUGGGUAAAGAAGCACCGGCUAACUACGUG